AAGUCGUAACAAGGUUUCCGUAGGUGAACCUGCGGAAGGAUCAUUACCAAUUUAAUCCAAAAUCUCAACCCAAUGUGCACGAUGGUUGUUUGUCCUUGGGGCGAUUUUUGUUGGCAGUCUCUCUCAUUCUUUUAUGAUAGACUUUGGCCACCAAUAGUUGCCCCACCAUUGUUGACAAAAUCCUUUUUUGUUUUACGUUGGCAUCUAUGUCUUGAUUUAAUUUAUAAGUAUGACAACUUUUAACGGUGGAUCUCUUGGCUCGU
This 263-nucleotide unclassified non-coding RNA is filed under the name fungal sp. RNAcentral's name for it is "partial internal transcribed spacer region". The stretch from base 1 to 46 matches the Rfam family "Eukaryotic small subunit ribosomal RNA", at positions 1786 to 1831 of the family's 1831-position model. Lineage: Eukaryota; Fungi. The record is from RNAcentral.